GGCGGAGGGCCGAGUUUACCUAGCCCGCUGGUUCUGGUGACCGAGGCCUGCGCGGGUCCUUUCCCGAGCGGGAAGGAGGGUCUGGAAAGGCCAGGCCUAGGGUUGGGGACUGGGGUGCAGUGCGGCUGGUGGAGGAGUGCGGCGGCUGAGGCUGGCGGCUUCGGGGGUUUUCUUUUUGGGAGGAGGGGGCGCGGCUCGUGGCGCGUUCGGUGCGGGGAAGUGGGGUGAGACUCUGACAGCCUGAAUCCCUGAGGUGCUGGGCGCGACGCGGGCCUUCCUUUUCCGGCUGGGGCGAGUGACCUGGAACUCUAAUUUCUUUUUUGAAGGAGAUCCCGGCUUCAUGGAAACAAGAUGGGCUUUUACAAGUAGGGUUUGGAGAAGUCAUGCCAGGCAGCAGAAACCCAUCUUGAGAUGAAAUAACUUUUACCUGGCCCCCUGGCAGAAUUUCAAGGCAAACACUGGGCUGACUCUGGGGCCAUGAUGUUCUCUGAUCCUUCUGCGUGGGGAGAGCAGGCCUGGGAGGAGAUUUCGCCUUUGGGAAACAGGGAAGAUAUGGAAACCAUGAAGGAAUUGACUCAACAUCCUAAGGCCAAAGGUACCAGUUACAUUCAGGGAUGUGGCUGUAGUCUUCAUGGAGGCAAAUGGAAGAGACUGAGCAGAAGAACCUAUACAAAGAAGUGAUGCUGGGGAAUUACAGGAGUGUAAUCUCAUUGGCAGAACCAAAGCCAGGAAUCCACCCAUGUUCCUCCUGCCUUCUGGCCUUCCCCUGUCAGCAAUUCCUCAGCCAGCGUGUGCUUCAGAUCUUCCCCAGUUUAUGUGUGGAAAAUCACUUCCAUCCAGGGGAUUCUGGCCUGGAGCCUCAGGAGCAGCAGUGUUCUGCUCAGUGAAAACACGGAAGGGCAAGAGAGAGAAGGCAGUUCCAAACUCUUGUGUACGGGGACAGAGGAGAGAGACCUCAGGCUCAUUCUCUGGCCCCUGCUGUGGACAGUCAGCAAGUCCUAGAGAAGGCACCAGGGUGGUAGAAAUAGACCCCACGUCAGUCCAAAGGGUAAAUCCUGUGCAACCAGACAAAGGAUUGAUGGAAUUAGAAACCUCGAGAUCUGGAGCAGUCAACUGUAGAGAGCGUGAAUUAGACUGUGGCCC
Non-coding RNA from Ceratotherium simum simum (southern white rhinoceros), 1143 nucleotides. NCBI's taxonomy places the organism in Eukaryota, Metazoa, Chordata, Mammalia, Perissodactyla, Rhinocerotidae. The record is from RefSeq and is a predicted model, not a curated record.